Molecule: ribosomal RNA, 492 nt
Filed under: uncultured bacterium
Lineage: Bacteria
Description: partial 16S ribosomal RNA
Rfam family: Bacterial small subunit ribosomal RNA
Source: RNAcentral
AGUGAACGCUGGCGGUAGGCCUAACACAUGCAAGUCGAACGGCAGCACAGUAAGAGCUUGCUCUUACGGGUGGCGAGUGGCGGACGGGUGAGGAAUACAUCGGAAUCUACUUUUUCGUGGGGGAUAACGUAGGGAAACUUACGCUAAUACCGCAUACGACCUACGGGUGAAAGCAGGGGAUCUUCUGACCUUGCGCGAUUGAAUGAGCCGAUGUCGGAUUAGCUAGUUGGCGGGGUAAAGGCCCACCAAGGCGACGCUCCGUAGGUGGUCUGAGAGGAUGUUUCGCUACCUGGGAACUGAGAAACGUUCGCGACUCCGGCGCUAGGCCGCAGUGGAGAAUAUUAGACAAGGGAGGAAAGCCUGAUCCAACCAUACCGCGUGGGUGCAGAAGGCCUCCGGGUUGUAAAGCCCUUUUGUUGGGAAAGAAAAGCAGCAGGUUAAUACCGCACUGUACUGACGGUACCCAAAGAAUAAGCACCGGCUAACUUCGUG